GUAACGGCGAGUGAAGCGGCAACAGCUCAAAUUUGAAAUCUGGCCCCCAGGGCCCGAGUUGUAAUUUGCAGAGGAUGCUUUUGGCGCGGCGCCUUCCGAGUUCCCUGGAACGGGACGCCAUAGAGGGUGAGAGCCCCGUCUGGUCGGACGCCAAGCCAGUGUAAAGCUCCUUCGACGAGUCGAGUAGUUUGGGAAUGCUGCUCUAAAUGGGAGGUAUAUGUCUUCUAAAGCUAAAUAUUGGCCAGAGACCGAUAGCGCACAAGUAGAGUGAUCGAAAGAUGAAAAGCACUUUGAAAAGAGGGUUAAACAGUACGUGAAAUUGUUGAAAGGGAAGCGCUUGUGACCAGACUUGGGCCCGGUGAAUCAUCCAGCGUUCUCGCUGGUGCACUUCGCCGGGCUCAGGCCAGCAUCAGUUCGCCGCGGGGGAUAAAAGCUUCGGGAACGUGGCUCCCUCGGGAGUGUUAUAGCCCGUUGCACAAUACCCUGCGGUGGACUGAGGUUCGCGCUCCGCAAGGAUGCUGGCGUAAUGGUCAUCAGCGACCCGUCUUGAAACACGGACCAAGGAGUCGUCUUCGUAUGCGAGUGUUCGGGUGUCAAACCCCUACGCGUAAUGAAAGUGAACGCAGGUGAGAGCUUCGGCGCAUCAUCGACCGAUCCUGAUGUUCUCGGAUGGAUUUGAGUAAGAGCAUACGGGGCCGGACCCGAAAGAAGGUGAACUAUGCCUGUAUAGGGUGAAGCCAGAGGAAACUCUGGUGGAGGCUCGCAGCGGUUCUGACGUGCAAAUCGAUCGUCAAAUAUGGGCAUGGGGGCGAAAGA
This 816-nucleotide ribosomal RNA is filed under the name Tolypocladium ophioglossoides. RNAcentral describes it as "eukaryotic LSU rRNA". It matches the Rfam family "Eukaryotic large subunit ribosomal RNA", at positions 83 to 930 of the family's 3401-position model. The record is from RNAcentral. Lineage: Eukaryota; Fungi; Ascomycota; Sordariomycetes; Hypocreales; Ophiocordycipitaceae.